RNAcentral lists this ribosomal RNA (497 nucleotides) under uncultured bacterium. RNAcentral describes it as "partial 16S ribosomal RNA". It matches the Rfam family "Bacterial small subunit ribosomal RNA", at positions 28 to 507 of the family's 1533-position model. The record is from RNAcentral.
GAUGAACGCUGGCGGCGUGCCUAAUACAUGCAAGUCGAGCGAACAGACGAGGAGCUUGCUCCUCUGACGUUAGCGGCGGACGGGUGAGUAACACGUGGAUAACCUACCUAUAAGACUGGGAUAACUUCGGGAAACCGGAGCUAAUACCGGAUAAUAUAUUGAACCGCAUGGUUCAAUAGGGAAAGACGGUUUUGCUGUCACUUAUAGAUGGAUCCGCGCCGCAUUAGCUAGUUGGUAAGGUAACGGCUUACCAAGGCAACGAUGCGUAGCCGACCUGAGAGGGUGAUCGGCCACACUGGAACUGAGACACGGUCCAGACUCCUACGGGAGGCAGCAGUAGGGAAUCUUCCGCAAUGGGCGAAAGCCUGACGGAGCAACGCCGCGUGAGUGAUGAAGGUCUUCGGAUCGUAAAACUCUGUUAUUAGGGAAGAACAAAUGUGUAAGUAACUAUGCACGUCUUGACGGUACCUAAUCAGAAAGCCACGGCUAACUACGUG